GCUUUUAUAGUUUAAAAAAAACAACAGUCUUGUAAACUGUAAUUGUACAAACUAAAAGUA
Molecule: transfer RNA, 60 nt
Filed under: Platorchestia sp. AKP-2018
Lineage: Eukaryota; Metazoa; Arthropoda; Malacostraca; Amphipoda; Talitridae
Description: tRNA-Thr
Rfam family: tRNA
About the family: Transfer RNA (tRNA) molecules are approximately 80 nucleotides in length. Their secondary structure includes four short double-helical elements and three loops (D, anti-codon, and T loops).
Source: RNAcentral